Molecule: long non-coding RNA, 1086 nt
Organism: Coregonus clupeaformis (lake whitefish)
Lineage: Eukaryota; Metazoa; Chordata; Actinopteri; Salmoniformes; Salmonidae
Exons: 2
Source: RefSeq, a predicted model, not a curated record
UCCAGUAUCCCUUGUGGUAUAAACAUAGAAGAGAUGAACGUACUGUUACUUCGCUUCUACUACUUGCAAGCUUCCUUUGUGCUUUUAUUUCGAGAUUUGCUACGCGCAAUUAUGUCUAUGUCCAGUUUUAAGGAAUGUAUGUGCGAGCUGGAGAGACAAUACGAGAACCUUUUCAAACCUUCGAUGCAGUUGUAUUCGGACAAUCACACAAAACAGCUGGAGGGAGGGUUGUACUGAUAUCAAAGAAACAUGGAGAAAGAUUCGGGACCAGUAUGUUCGCAAUCUGAAAAGGGUGAAGGAGAUGAGGAGUGGGGCUGCUGGUGUGUGUGACCCACCGAUUGUCUGACAACUGGAUUGGUUUCGUGUUCAAGUGAAACAUCGUCAGACAGACACCAAUAUGCCAGAUACGGUAUUGGAGGGCGGUGGAGUUUUGGACAGCCCAGAGACAGAGCAGAGCCCUGAGGGCCCAUCUACAGGUGGUUCAUCGCCCCUUGGUUCAUCAUCUCCCUCUCUCCCCGGCCUGAUUCAUCACCUUCACGGCCCCUCUCCCCAGGCCUUUCUCACCAACACCCAACGCACCGUCCAGGCGCACCCUUGCUCUCUGACCAGCAACUCCAUCAACCUCCGCCACAUCUCUCCGAACCAGCUCCAACGGCCGGAAGAGGAAGACUGCUGAGGAUCUUUUGGACACUGACAUUAUGCAGCAGGAGUUACAGAAACAGCAGCAGUGUCCAGCAGAGGCAGUAUACGACAUCAUGGUACCAUGGAUGGUGUCUAUUCUUGCUGAUCAAUGUCUCCCGUUUGUCAGGGACAUGACGAUGUCCUUUCACAGGACCAUCGAUCAGUGCGCCGUCCGCUCUCAAGUGAGACAGAGCCCUCUGUCUCACCCCAAAAACAGAUGUUGUGUGCUUUUCUUAUACUCACGUACGGGUGGUGGGUAAUUUACUAAGGUUAUUUCCUCAUUCAAAUGUUACUAGUGUUUACUUUGAUUUUUUUUUCACUUAUUUCCCCUUUCAUCACACUUUUCACCGGUGUAUUACAUUGUUUUACAUUGCACUAUUUCCCUAAAUAAAUAUCUGAAAUGUC